UACGGCCACAUUGGGACUGAGAUACGGCCCAGAUUCCUACGGGAGGCAGCAGUGGGAAUAUUGCACAAUGGGCGGAAGCCUGAUGCAGCGACGCCGCGUGGGGGAUGACGGCCUUCGGGUUGUAAACUCCUUUCGACAGGGACGAAGCGCAAGUGACGGUACCUGUAUAAGAAGCACCGGCUAACUACGUGCCAGCAGCCGCGGUAAUACGUAGGGUGCGAGCGUUGUCCGGAAUUACUGGGCGUAAAGAGCUCGUAGGUGGUUUGUCGCGUCGUCUGUGAAAUUCCGGGGCUUAACUUCGGGCGUGCAGGCGAUACGGGCAUAACUUGAGUGCUGUAGGGGAGACUGGAAUUCCUGGUGUAGCGGUGAAAUGCGCAGAUAUCAGGAGGAACACCGAUGGCGAAGGCAGGUCUCUGGGCAGUUACUGACGCUGAGGAGCGAAAGCAUGGGUAGCAAACAGGAUUAGAUACCCUGGUAGUCCAUGCCGUAAACGGUGGGCGCUAGGUGUAGGGGGCUUCCACGUCUUCUGUGCCGUAGCUAACGCAUUAAGCGCCCCGCCUGGGGAGUACGGCCGCAAGGCUAAAACUCAAAGGAAUUGACGGGGGCCCGCACAAGCGGCGGAGCAUGUGGAUUAAUUCGAUGCAACGCGAAGAACCUUACCUGGGCUUGACAUACACCAGAUUGCUGCAGAGAUGUAGUGUCCCUUGUGGUUGGUGUACAGGUGGUGCAUGGUUGUCGUCAGCUCGUGUCGUGAGAUGUUGGGUUAAGUCCCGCAACGAGCGCAACCCUUGUCUUAUGUUGCCAGCAUUUGGUUGGGGACUCAUGAGAGACUGCCGGGGUUAACUCGGAGGAAGGUGGGGAUGACGUCAAAUCAUCAUGCCCCUUAUGUCCAGGGCUUCACACAUGCUACAAUGGUCGGUACAACGCGCAGCGACACUGUGAGGUGGAGCGAAUCGCUGAAAGCCGGCCUUAGUUCGGAUUGGGGUCUGCAACUCGACCCCAUGAAGUGGGAGUCGCUAGUAAUCGCAGAUCAGCAAUGCUGCGGUGAAUACGUUCCCGGGCCUUGUACACACCGCCCGUCAC
RNAcentral lists this ribosomal RNA (1083 nucleotides) under Corynebacterium aurimucosum. RNAcentral describes it as "bacterial SSU rRNA". It matches the Rfam family "Bacterial small subunit ribosomal RNA", at positions 303 to 1400 of the family's 1533-position model. The record is from RNAcentral. Lineage: Bacteria; Bacillati; Actinomycetota; Actinomycetes; Mycobacteriales; Corynebacteriaceae.